This 484-nucleotide ribosomal RNA is filed under the name uncultured bacterium. RNAcentral's name for it is "bacterial SSU rRNA". It matches the Rfam family "Bacterial small subunit ribosomal RNA", at positions 30 to 507 of the family's 1533-position model. The record is from RNAcentral.
AUUGAACGCUGGCGGCAUGCUUUACACAUGCAAGUCGAACGGUAACAGGGAGCUUGCUCCGCUGACGAGUGGCGAACGGGUGAGUAAUGCAUCGGAACAUGCCCAGUCAUGGGGGAUAACUACGCGAAAGCGUAGCUAAUACCGCAUACGCCCUGAGGGGGAAAGUGGGGGAUCUUAGGACCUCACGUGAUUGGAGUGGCCGAUGUCAGAUUAGCUAGUUGGUGGGGUAAAGGCCUACCAAGGCGACGAUCCGUAGCUGGUCUGAGAGGAUGAUCAGCCACACUGGGACUGAGACACGGCCCAGACUCCUACGGGAGGCAGCAGUGGGGAAUUUUGGACAAUGGGCGAAAGCCUGAUCCAGCCAUGCCGCGUGAGUGAAGAAGGCCUUCGGGUUGUAAAGCUCUUUCAGGUGGAAAGAAAGCGGAUGGGCUAAUACCCUGUUCGGAUGACGAUACCACCAGAAGAAGCACCGGCUAACUACGUG